CAUUUAGUGGCGGACGGGUGAGGUAACACGUGGGUAACCUGCCCGUGUACCGGGGGAUAACACUUAGAAAUAGGUGAUAAUACCGCAUAAGCGCACACUGACGCAUGUCAGAGUGUGAAAAACUCCGGUGGUACAGGAUGGACCCGCGUCUGAUUAGCUAGUUGGUGAGGUAACGGCCACCAAGGCGACGAUCAAUAGCCGGCCUGAGAGGGCAAUCGGCCACAUUGGGACUGAGACACGGCCCAAACUCCUACGGGAGGCAGCAGUGGGGAAUAUUGCACAAUGGGGGAAACCCUGAUGCAGCGACGCCCGCGUGAGUGAAGAAGUAUUUCGGUAUGUAAAGCUCUAUCAGCAGGGAAGAUGAUGACGGUACCUGACUAAGAAGCCCCGGCUAACUACGUGCCAGCAGCAGC
This 413-nucleotide ribosomal RNA is filed under the name uncultured bacterium. RNAcentral's name for it is "bacterial SSU rRNA". It matches the Rfam family "Bacterial small subunit ribosomal RNA", at positions 89 to 518 of the family's 1533-position model. The record is from RNAcentral.